GAUGAACGCUGGCGGCGUGCCUAAUACAUGCAAGUCGAGCGGACACACGAGAGUGCUUGCCCCUUCCGACGUUAGCGGCGCAGGGGUGAGUAAAAUGCGUGUAAACUUCCUAUUUCAUUGGGAAUACCUCAGGAAACCGUACUCUAUUCCCGAAUAUAUUCACCUUCGCACGACACAAUAGUUUAAGACCGUUCUCCUGUCAAUUAUCGAUUGACCCACGGGGUAUUAGCUAGUUGGUGGGGUAACGGCUUACCAAGGCAACGAUACGUAGCCGGUCUGAGAGGAUGAUCCGCCACACUGGAACUGAGACACGGCCCAGACUCCUACGGGGGGCAGCAGUAGGGAAUAUUGCACAAUGGACGAAAGCCUGAUGCAGCAAUGCCGCGUGAGUGAAGAAGGUCUUCGGAUCGUAAAGCUCUGUUGUUAGGGAAGAACAAGAGCAGGUUUAACCGAACGUAUUUUGACGGUACCUAAAGAAUAAGCCACGGCUAACUUCGUG
Molecule: ribosomal RNA, 499 nt
Filed under: uncultured bacterium
Lineage: Bacteria
Description: partial 16S ribosomal RNA
Rfam family: Bacterial small subunit ribosomal RNA
Source: RNAcentral